This 253-nucleotide ribosomal RNA is filed under the name uncultured bacterium. RNAcentral describes it as "partial 16S ribosomal RNA". It matches the Rfam family "Bacterial small subunit ribosomal RNA", at positions 524 to 776 of the family's 1533-position model. The record is from RNAcentral.
UACGGAGGGUGCAAGCGUUAUCCGGAUUCACUGGGGUUAAAGGGUGCGUAGGUGGGUUGGUAAGUCAGUGGUGAAAUCUCCGUGCUUAACAUGGAAACUGCCAUUGAUACUACUGAUCUUGAAUUUUCUGGAGGUAAGCGGAAUAUGUCAUGUAGCGGUGAAAUGCUUAGAUAUGACAUAGAACACCAAUUGCGAAGGCAGCUGGCUACACAAAUAUUGACACUGAGGCACGAAAGCGUGGGGAUCAAACAGG